Nicotiana attenuata is the source of this 102-nucleotide small nucleolar RNA. It matches the Rfam family "Plant small nucleolar RNA R71". From Rfam's summary of the family: R71 is a member of the C/D box family of snoRNAs containing the C (UGAUGA) and D (CUGA) box motifs. Multiple nearly identical copies of this snoRNA have been identified in Arabidopsis, and it is thought to function as a 2'-O-ribose methylation guide for 18S ribosomal RNA. The record is from Rfam. Lineage: Eukaryota; Viridiplantae; Streptophyta; Magnoliopsida; Solanales; Solanaceae.
AUACCAUGAUGUAGACACAUAACCUGACCCUUGAAUCUCUCCCAUGUUUCUUGUAACGUCUCUGUUGGUUUCUGUCUGAAGCUCAAUAUCUCAUCAAUUUAU